RNAcentral lists this ribosomal RNA (254 nucleotides) under uncultured bacterium. RNAcentral's name for it is "partial 16S ribosomal RNA". It matches the Rfam family "Bacterial small subunit ribosomal RNA", at positions 524 to 776 of the family's 1533-position model. The record is from RNAcentral.
UACGGGGGGGGCAAGCGUUGUUCGGAAUUACUGGGCGUAAAGGGCGCGUAGGCGGCCGCCUAAGUCAGACGUGAAAUCCCUCGGCUCAACCGGGGAACUGCGUCUGAUACUGGGUGGCUUGAAUCCGGGAGAGGGAUGCAGAAUUCCAGGUGUAGCGGUGAAAUGCGUAGAUAUCUGGAGGAAUACCGGUGGCGAAGGCGGCAUCCUGGACCGGCAUUGACGCUGAGUGAGCGAAAGCCAGGGGAGCAAACGGG